Molecule: long non-coding RNA, 974 nt
Filed under: Salvia miltiorrhiza (redroot sage)
Lineage: Eukaryota; Viridiplantae; Streptophyta; Magnoliopsida; Lamiales; Lamiaceae
Description: long non-coding RNA (SMIL_LNC005206)
Source: RNAcentral
UUUUUCGUAAGGAAUCAUAAUAUGCAGAGUAUCGCAGCAAAAGGCGAAUCGAUUAUAUGUAUGAAGACAUAUAACCGUGAGUACAUUGCUUAAAUUCAAAAGAAAAUCAAAGUAUAUCAAUCAUCAAGACUUUAUCGUCAAAAUGGAAAUACGAUAAAGUAAAUACAUCCUCCAACAACUCCCCACCAGCACCAGACCAAUCUCCCUCCUCGCUUAGUCUGCACAUUUAGAAAUACAUGCAGGGCGUGAGUACAUAAUACUCAGUGGGCAAACGCCGAAAAUCAAGAAAGGUGCUCUUAGAGCUAUAGGUUUGAAGCUUGCCACAUCUCAGCAAUACACAAAAAUAAAGUUAGCGUAAAUGAAUCUGUGCAUGCAGUUUUCAUAAUCAUGACAUCAUAAGUAAACGACUGCAGUCAAAGAUCUUAACAUGUAUGUACCACAUCUACAACUCAUCAUCAUCAAAGGUACUGAGAAGUAGGCCUCCCUCUCAAGUACCGUGACCGGCCGACCCGAAGACGGCUCGCAGUCACCUCUGUGCACAAAAUCCCGCUUGAGGCAGGACCGAAUUUGUCUCAUCAGUAGAGGGUAACACACAAGCUCAACAUCAAAAAUUGGCAAGUCAAACAGUUCUCAAAUAUCAUUUAACUCAAAUCAUUUGAUAAGCUCAUAACAUCAUUAAAUCAUUUUAGAAAGCUCGUACGAUAAACGUAUACUCAAAAUAUUGCCCACCUGAAGUCCUUCGCUAAUCCUGGAAAGAAAUCAGGCAACUUACUUCUUCGUCUCGCUCGGGCCUUCAUAUGUCAUCAUCACAUCGUCAUCGUCAUCGAAGGUUCAUGUGAUAAAACAAACCUUAGUCAGAAACUCAAUUUCUAAAUCCAAUCUCAUCUUAACUAUAACUUCUCACUCAACGUCUAUUUACCCAUUGAAACUCAAUCCCUAGGUAUACUCGGCUUCUAAGGAUUCACACGUCCUAU